UACGAAGGUCCCAAGCGUUAUCCGGAUUUAUUGGGUUUAAAGGGUGCGUAGGCGGGCUAUUAAGUCAGUGGUGAAAGCCCCAAGCUUAACUUGGGAACUGCCAUUGAUACUGAUGGUCUUGAGUACAUUUGAGGUGGGCGGAAUGUGUCAUGUAGCGGUGAAAUGCUUAGAUAUGACACAGAACACCGAUUGCGAAGGCAGCUCACUAAACUGUAACUGACGCUGAGGCACGAAAGCGUGGGGAGCAAACGGG
Molecule: ribosomal RNA, 253 nt
Filed under: uncultured bacterium
Lineage: Bacteria
Description: partial 16S ribosomal RNA
Rfam family: Bacterial small subunit ribosomal RNA
Source: RNAcentral